Molecule: ribosomal RNA, 200 nt
Filed under: uncultured bacterium
Lineage: Bacteria
Description: partial 16S ribosomal RNA
Rfam family: Bacterial small subunit ribosomal RNA
Source: RNAcentral
AAUGAACGCUGGCGGCGUGGUUAAGACAUGCAAGUCGAACGGUUUUUUUGGUGUAGCAAUAUAUUAGAAAAGCAGUGGCGAACGGGUGCGUAACACGUGAACAAUCUACCUUUUAGUGGGGAAUAGCUCGCCGAAAGGCGAAUUAAUACCGCAUACGAUUAUGGCCCUCAUGGGUUGUAUAUCAAAGUCGGGGACCGCAA